UACGGAGGGUGCAAGCGUUGUUCGGAUUUACUGGGCGUAAAGCGCACGUAGGCGGAUCGAUCAGUCAGGGGUGAAAUCCCAGGGCUCAACCCUGGAACUGCCUUUGAUACUGUCGAUCUGGAGUAUGGAAGAGGUGAGUGGAAUUCCGAGUGUAGAGGUGAAAUUCGUAGAUAUUCGGAGGAACACCAGUGGCGAAGGCGGCUCACUGGUCCAUUACUGACGCUGAGGUGCGAAAGCGUGGGGAGCAAACAGG
RNAcentral lists this ribosomal RNA (253 nucleotides) under uncultured bacterium. RNAcentral describes it as "partial 16S ribosomal RNA". It matches the Rfam family "Bacterial small subunit ribosomal RNA", at positions 524 to 776 of the family's 1533-position model. The record is from RNAcentral.